AAGGUUGUGGACAUACCAGGUAUCUUCCAUACACAAAUCUGGAGCUUGGGUGCAUCAAACGCUCCAUCUAGUAAUCAAAUCAGAAACCAAACCAGGAAAACAUUCACAGGGUUUCGGGGGAACCAAUGUCUACGCCAAUUUGGUCCGCACACUUUGCUCUCGAGGAGUAAUUCUGACCCAAUAAAUAUCGACGUUAAGUCAUCAAGCCGAUUCAUUACACCUCGCAACAUCUGAUAUGACGAAAAUUUCGACUGCAAAUGCCAGUUCUUUCUUGUUAACGAACCCUCCAUUCGGUUUCUCGAGAUCUCCCCACGGCAUAAAGUUCGGGCGACCGUAGUUGUAAUUUUUGGCAGAGAGCCAACCACUAACUGCAAUGCCCCGAAAGAAAUACUAAUUAGUUCUUUUUAAAAAAAAUUAAUAUCACGAAAAACUUUAAAUUAGUACAUAAGUGACAAAUUUAGCCUAAAACUUAUUUUCGAAUCACAAAAAAAUCCCAAAUUAAUACAUAUAUGGCUAAUUUACCUCAAAUUUAUAUGAAUUUUCAUGUGGACUUGCCAUGUGUUAUCCAACUCAAUGAUUUCAUAGUAAAAUUUAAUAGAAGCUAACAAGUGACCAAUUUGGGGGUUUUUUUGAUAAAUUUAUCGCUAAUGUACUAGUUUAGAGGUUUUGGUAAUAAAAAAAGUAGUUUGAAGAAAAUUUGUCAUAAGUAUAUCAGUUUGAAGUUUUUUAGAGUAUUAAUCUUUUUUUUUUGGGUUAAAUUAUAGAGGUAGCCAUAUCUAAUUAGCAUACUCAUACUCAAUGUGGAACGAUGAAGAGACAUAGCAUUAUUCUUUCAAAAGGAGAUAUUCGUCUGCUUAUCUGGAUUGUUGUUAUGAUACUCAAAGUUUGGGAAGUCAAAUAGAUUGGGCUUUGAGCCCUUUGCAAAAAGCCAUUUGGAAAUUUUCCUUUAAAUAAGAAUGAUAUUCAUUUAUAAAGAUCUUGGAAAAAUUCUGCAUAUUUUUCUUUUUAAUUUGUAUAUAUGGUAAUACUUACAUAUAUAUGCGUAAGCCCGUUUGUGUGUGUAUCGUAAGAGAUUGAUUUUUUUUUUUUAAGAAAAAGAAAUUAAAACUCAAUCUAGACACAGCAGUUACAGAGAAAAAGAAAAGAAAAAACUAGCUGUUUUUUCCUUAUUGUUUUUUUUUUUUUUUUUGGGUCUGAAAAAGAUAAUAUUAUUACUAACGCAUAUUAGAAGUAGCAUUUUGCAUAAUGUUAUAAUACAACAGGUCACGCAAAAACAAAGGAGGGUUGUGAACCCAAUCCGGAGGAAGUAAAGAAGCCCGAUGGGCCUUCGCGGCCCGGUCUGCUACCAUAUUCAUUUCCCUCUUGCAAUGAGCUAUCUGAAGAUUAGGGCAUCGAGGAAGCAUCGACGUGCAUCCUUCAAUCAGAGGUCUGAUUUCCCAUGGUGGCAGAUUAGGGUUUCGUAUUGCCUCCACAAGAGAUAAGCAAUUAGUUUCUAGAUUAAUCCGAUCUGUUUUAUCCUUAUUGUUUCGAGGGUCGUUUUUGUUCAACAGCCGCAAUUUGGCUUUUACAUACAUUUUGAUCCUUAGAGGAAGGCCUGCGCUUGUAACUAAACGGACAGUGACUUCCCCUCCUGCGUCCCAUUGCGCUGGGGAAACACCUUUAACUUCCUACACACGAUAAUCUUAAUUAAAACAAAUAUGAGUUUUAGCGAAUUCUAAAACUUUUCACAAGAGUAUAGUUUUUUUUUUUUUUUGGUAAGUUCACAAGAGUAUAGUUGAAUCCUAAAAUUUUCAAAAAAAAAAAAAAAAGGUGCAAUGAAAUCCUAAAAUUUAUCAUGAAAGUGCAAUUGAGUCAUAAAACUUGUUAAAUUAGUGCAAUUAAAUUCUAAAACCUGUUAACAUUUUCUAAAGCUUGUUAGCAUUUUUCAUUUAUCAAAUUUAACAAAGUUGAUGAGAGAACUUGAAUGCACCAACUUAGCAGGUUUAAGGACUUAAUCAAACUUUUUGAAAUUUUUAUAACUUAAUUAUAUUUUUGAGACAAAUUUUAGGACUUGUCGUGUAUUUAUUUCUGAAAUUUAAAAAGAGGCAAAAGGCAAGUAGCUAAUUCCAUUUCCUCACCAACUUUUUCGUUUUGGGAAUGUACGAAUUCCUCCUUCCGAGGGUAAAGGCGUCGGAAUACUAAGGGUCCUUGUUCGAUGUGGAGAACUGUGGGAUCUUGCAAGUGGUUUUGUUAUGAGGUGGAUCUUUGUCGCGACGUCUCUUUUUUCGGCGCCCGCGAUCGAGUACGAGCGCCUAAGGAGGCUAAUGGCUCGGCUGAAAUUAGUUAUGCCCGAACUCUCCCAAGUCCACCAAUUCACGAAUUUAAUAGUCUAAAUUUUUAACCUGUAAAUCAAUUUUUAAAAUGGAAUCGCCACUAAUCGAUUUUGGGUGGGUUGAUAAGAAACCCAAGUGAAGUAUCAGGAGAAAUACUCACUCCUGCGCAACCAGAGAAAUUAGGAUCAGGGACUUGAUUACACUAGUUAAUCACUAAUGCCCUUUCAGUACCUAAUCUUGUUUAAACGGUUUUUUGGAUGUUCGAGGGAUUUUCCACGUAUUUUUGGGAGGAAUUCAAGUCCAAACCUCUCUCUUUUUCUUUUUUCUUUUUUUCUCUUUUUUCUCCUUCCUUUCUCUUUCUCUCUCCUUCUUCCCCCCAACCAAUCACCGACCGUCGCUGCUGCUGUCGACGAUGGCCAAUGACCAGCUAGGUAAGGUCCGAUGAGCUCGUCGGAGGCUCACCAGGCUAGGGCGAGGUCCAACGGGUGAGCCCAAGCCUCGUCGAUGGUUGGGCGAGCCUUGCCUAGCCCGUCGAGCCUCAUCAGGCUACUGGCCAUGCUUGGCCUCACCCCGGCUAAAGAGGCCUAGCCUAGCACUGCUUGGGCGACAGCGAUGGCCGGCGCUGAUUGGGUAAGGUCCAGUGAGCUCGUCGAAGGCUCACCUGGCCACUAGCGAGGCUCGACCUCACCCAAAUUUGCGAGGUUGAGGCUCAUGGUAGCCAGACGAGCCUCCAAUGAGCUCGUCGAACCUCGCCUAGUUGAUUGCCGACCAUCGCCGGCGCCCGCGACCAACCACAAAGAAGGAGGAAGAAGAAGCAAAAAAGAAGAGAAAAUAAGAAAAAUAUAAUGAAAGUAUUAAAAAUUAAAAGAAACAAAGGAAUUUAAGAGUCCCAUCAAACACUUUCUAUUCCGAGAAUAAAAAUUUUCAAUAGUUACCAAAUGCUUUCAAAUAUUCAGAAAUUGUUCCCAAAAAUAAAAUAAAAAGGAAUCAUUUUUGAGUGAAAAUUGUCCUCGGAAAUAGAAUAGUUACCAAAUGUACCAUUGGUGUUAACUAUUCUCCAUGAAGGGAGAUCUUUCUUCAAAAGCUUUCGCAGUGGGCAAAAUGUUUUGAGAAUUUCUUUCAAAUAAAAUUGUUAUAUUAGCUUAUGAAACAUAUUCUCAUUUGGAAACUUUAUAAUCAAAUAAAAUUUUAAAAAUUUUAAAAGCAAUAGACAUUAAUUAUUAUGACUAACAAAUAAAAUGAAGUACCGGUUCCCACAUAGUUAUACCUACUCUGUUUUGGAAGUACUUGAACAAGUUGAAAAAGGCCCUCCCGACCACUGGGUACGGUAACUUCUGGCAGCUCUUAUUGUCCACUCUCAAAUUGGAUUUUGGUAUUGUUUUCGACAUUGGAAUCAGCAUAAUGUUUUCUAUGUUUCAUGAACUCUUCAUAAUUUUCUUAAAUAUUUAAUUUUUUAUCUAAAUCUAAGAAAUUACAAGUUUUAUUGCGAAAUUUGUUAGCCAUGGAGUUGCACUUCUUGAGCGAUGACAAAUUUGCCGAUGGGUAAUCGCAACUUAUAUGGAGCCAAUAACAGAACGGUGCAGCUGCCCUUUGGAAUAAUGUAAAAAAGCUGAGUCAAAAAAGAGGUUCCGGCUUUAAUGUUAUAGAGAGAUCUUCCAUAAUUCAGGAUCACUCUCACUCACCGUCUUACUUGUUCUUUAAGAUGCCAAUGGGCCAGCGAGGCAUUUAGUGCCUUCAUGUUUCUGAUCUUCUUUAGACAACCAUUUUCUUAAAAGUUUAACUUCGAAUUGCUUGAAUUCAUUUGGAAGAAUGAAAAGGUGAAUGCUUCUAGAAGAAAAAAAGCCAAAAAUUCUAACUAAGCGGAGAUAAGAUACGAGUCAUGUGACAUUAUUUGGAUAAACACUAACUUUAUGCAAGUAUUAAUUUGAUUCUUCACUCAAGAUUUUCCAUUAAACUUUCUUUUGCAAACACGGCGACGUUGGUGUACUUUAUAUUAAUCCUAAUUCCAGUAUUUUAUAAUGAUGUUCUUCUUUUCGAAGUGGGAAUCCUCAUGGCGUCGGUUGCCAAGGUCGUAGGAGUUUGACAGCAUUAACUUCAUAUCAUUCCCUUUAAUGGUGUCAUGAGUUCCUUGAGAACAAUGUCUAUCAACCAAUUUGUCAAUGGACUUUUUCCCCCUAACAUGGUUUCUCACUCAAUUUGAUGGAGUGCAAUUCAACCAAUUGAUGCAUUCGUUGUUGAAUUGUACUAGAGCCAACAAAGAAUCGUCCAAGUUCAAUUCUCCAAAUUCAUACGAGUGGGUAUUUUCAUUUUCCAAACUACACCCGGUUCAAGAAUAGGGUGGGGAAGCCCGGCUGUUUAACAGAAGGACCACUCCGAUUCGGAAGAAGAGAAGGAUGGAUAAUCCGGAAGAGGAGCAAAAAUGUAAGUCUGGACCAGAUAACAGCCACAUUCCCAAGCAUUUAGCAAGGAAACAUGGGCGACGAGUCAAUAGAUGCAUGUGCUGGGAAGACAACCGCAUCUCUGAAAAUUGGACAAAACUAUCAAAAUAAGUACGAUGGCACUAAAUCAACUGGGUAAUCAAAUUGAAGAUAGACCCUUGACUGGUUUAGAAAAUUUGCCACUGUCAAGAGCUGUUCUAACACUGGUAAGUGACACAAGCUGCUCCGACGCUAAUGAUGGUAAAACCAACCGCUACUUCAUGGAGGUGAGUGGGAAACGACCAUUUAAGGUUCGAUGAAUUUAUAUAUUCAAUUCAAGAGAAGUGGUAAGAAUGGGUGAAAACGACCAAGUUAGUCUAUAAUUUUUGAGUUUUCCACUUUGCUUUAUUUUUAUUGAUAGUAGCUGUGUUGCUAAUCAUAUCUUUGCAUAGUGCUAUUAAGUUGUAAUAGUAAAUAGUCAAGUGUACAAGUGUAAGGAUAAUGAUUGUGUCAUGAUAGUGUGAUGCAUCGGUUGAUAGGAGCAACAUUGAUGAUUUUAAUUUGCUUUAAUGUUUACUAGUGGAUUUCAAUCUUGUUGCAACUAUUAGUCUGGAGAAUGGACAUAUGCUUUGGGAUAAAACCGAACUACUAUAAAUCUUAGUAUGUCAUCUUCUAUCUCUUUAUUAUUAGCAUCACUUGUUGAUUAUUAGUAACUGUUCAUCAGCAUCACUUAUGAUAACUUAACCUGUUUCUGCUGAUGCUGAAAUUUAACUCGUUAUGUCCCGCAAAUGUUCUUCGUAGUUCUCAUUGAUUUGUUUUACACUUAAUGCCACAACACCGCGCUCCUUGUGAACGGUCAGUGGCAAUAAGGAACGACCUAUACCACCCUUUCCUGGGGAUCCUCACCGUUGGAACCCUGCCGCCCUUCCAAAGAAUACUCACAAGAGAGCUGCGAGCAGACAUGUUAGCACGCAUGCAAACAUCCUGGCUCUACUACAACACAAGGAAAGAUCGCGACAAACUAUAAAAUGGCUCACAAGGAUUUUAUUAUAAGCAUAGCUACGAUUACACACAGUUCGGAAACACAGAAUAUACUAAGCAAGUCCCAAAGAAAUUACAUACUAGGUAUCUUCCAUACUCAAAUCUGGAGCUUUGGGUGCAUCAAACGCUCCAUCUAGUAAUCAGAUAAGAAACCAAAUCAGGAAGACGACAUUCACAUGGUUUCGGGGAACCAGUGUCAAUGCCAAUUUGGUCCACACUUGCUCUCGAGGAGUAAAUUCUGACCCAAUAAGUAUUGAAGUUAAAG
Molecule: long non-coding RNA, 6035 nt
Filed under: Eucalyptus grandis
Lineage: Eukaryota; Viridiplantae; Streptophyta; Magnoliopsida; Myrtales; Myrtaceae
Description: long non-coding RNA (EGRA_LNC006730)
Source: RNAcentral